CAGUAGCCGCGGUAAUGCGUAGGUGGCAAGCGUUGUCCGGAUUUAUUGGGCGUAAAGGGAGUGUAGGCGGUCUUUUAAGUCUGAUGUGAAAGCCCACGGCUCAACCGUGGAGGGUCAUUGGAAACUGGGAGACUUGAGUGCAGAAGAGGAGAGCGGAAUUCCAUGUGUAGCGGUGAAAUGCGUAGAUAUAUGGAGGAACACCAGUGGCGAAGGCGGCUCUCUGGUCUGUAACUGACGCUGAGGCUCGAAAGCGUGGGGAGCAAACAGGAUUAGAUACCCGCGUAGUCCCUGUCUCUUAUAC
This 301-nucleotide ribosomal RNA is filed under the name uncultured bacterium. RNAcentral describes it as "partial 16S ribosomal RNA". It matches the Rfam family "Bacterial small subunit ribosomal RNA", at positions 509 to 807 of the family's 1533-position model. The record is from RNAcentral.